AACGAACGCUGGCGGCAUGCCUAACACAUGCAAGUCGAACGAGACCUUCGGGUCUAGUGGCGCACGGGUGCGUAACGCGUGGGAACCUGCCCUUAGGUUCGGAAUAACUCCCCGAAAGGGGGGCUAAUACCGGAUAAUGUCUGCGGACCAAAGAUUUAGCGCCUUUGGAUGGGCCCGCGUUGGAUUAGCUAGUUGGUAGGGUAAAAGCCUAUCAAGGCGACGAUCCAUAGCUGGUCUGAGAGGAUGAUCAGCCACACUGAGACUGAGACACGGCCUAGACUCCUACGGGAGGCAGCCGUGGGGAAUAUUGGCCAAUGGGCGAAAGCCUGAUCCAGCAAUGCCGCGUGAGUGAUGAAGGCCUUAGAGUUGUAAAGCUCUUUUACCCGGGAUGAUACUGACAGUACCGGGAGAAUAAGCACCGGCUAACUCCGUG
RNAcentral lists this ribosomal RNA (433 nucleotides) under uncultured bacterium. RNAcentral's name for it is "partial 16S ribosomal RNA". It matches the Rfam family "Bacterial small subunit ribosomal RNA", at positions 29 to 507 of the family's 1533-position model. The record is from RNAcentral.